AUGGCCGCCUCCAGCCAGGGGGGCCAGGCUGUCCCCACCUCAUCAGCACUCCCUCCACAGCCCGGGCCUGUCACCAGGAGCCCCGGGAAGCAUCCCCUUGGAGAGGCGCCUGAUGGACCUGUCACCACAGUGCCAUCCCCCCGGCCGGCCCCUCACACUCGCGGGGUAAUCUGCUUUCACCGGGAACAUUGUCCUUCAGCCUCCCCAGCUCGGCUCAGAGCAGGGAGGGCGGGGCGCGCAGGGCUGAGAAGCUGCUUUCUUCACCGAACAAAUGACCUUGGGCCAGGAGCCGGAACAGCCUGGAGAGAAUUCAAACAGCCUGGGCCCGGCAGCCCUGGGCUCGCAGCCCCUCUUCCGCAGGCAUCCCAGACAUCUUGGGGUUCCUACACAUGGCCAGGCCAGGAAAUGACCAUGGGGCUGGAGGCUCCUGGAGAGCAGUCGACGUGCCGUCCGCACCCAGUGCCCCCCUCCAAGCCCCCACACUGCCAGCCUCAGAAAACAUGGAUGGAAGGACUGGGAUGCAGAGAGCUGUUCCCAUCUGUCAGAAUGCUGAUGUGGGCUCGUCUCCUCCCGACAAGGCAGAAUGAUGAUAAGGUUAUUUUUUAAUAUCAGGGAUAUUAAUACUUCUCUUUCUGAUAAUGAGCCAUGGCCUGCUCCCUCCUGCUCCCUGGGGGAGGUCCUUGGGUUGGGCUGGGGGAGGCAGGGGGUGCGUGGGGGCAAGGCUGAGAUGCAGGAGGGCCUACUGCGCGCCACGAACCCUUUCAAUCUUCACAAUAUGAGGGCAGGUGGCGGUGUCCCCGUUGGACAGGUCUGGGCCUGAGGCUCGGAGAGGGGAAGCCAGUUCCCGAAGCCACAGGGCAAGCGGCAAGGGUCAGGCUGGCGGGGCGGGGGGGGGGGUCCCAGCCAGGUGUGACUCCAGAGUCCGAGCCCUUUGCUGCCUCCCAACACAUUUAGAGGCUUUUUCCCACCUGCUGCCAGGAGCCCCAAUAUCCUGGGACCCCAUAGGGAGGGGCCCUGCUCCAGCCCAUGGUCAGGCUGAGAGCUCAGGCCCAGUGUGGCCCUGGCCCCAGGCCUGGCCCGACGAUCCAGCCUUCCAGCAGGGUGUGAGGCCCUCCGACCCCAUACUUAGCAGAACCUCCCUGCCCCGUCCCCUGUGGGUGCCCGGCGGUGGUCUCUCCUGGGGGCCAUGAGCUCCUCUACCUUCCCCCAGAAGCCUGAGGAGCUUAGGGAGGGUCAGCACACCCACCGGGUACCCCACAGAUCAGUAGCCAAGUGGCAUCUGCUCUCUCCCUCCCUGCGCGACCAGCCCCACGUUCUGCACUUUCCCUUCUGAGCACCCACCCCUCUCCCCCCUUCCAAUGCCUCACGACUAAGCAAGUGGGCUCUGGAAGCACAGAUCUGAGUUCAAAUCCCCAGCCUGCCACUCAGUGGCUGUGGCUUCUUGGGCAAAUAUGUACCUCCCCCACCCCCCAUUAUUCUCGUUUUAAAGUAUAGAUAAUAAUAGAAUUUACGUCAAAGGGCUGUCGUUAAGAUUAACAGGCGUAGUGAAUACUGUGCCUUUGGAGACCUUCCCCCAGGCUGAGCAGCGCCCCAGAGAGGUAGUGAGAUUUGCCUAAAGUCACAUGGGCUGUUAGUAGCCGAGAGAAUCUAGCACCAGCUCCAGGCCUGGGCCAGGCCUCCAAAGGGAGCCAGGGACAAGGCAAAAUCCUUACAGAGGGCGGCUCAUGUGGCAGAUGCUGAAGGCUUGGUGUCCAGCAAGAGCAGAGGCAGUCCCUGUUCUCACAGGACAGUGGCUCGAAUCAAGGAACCACACGUGCAGGUAAGAUUCCAAACUGAGCCAAGGGUGCUGAUGGAGAUGGGCAAGGGUCUGUGAGAGCACCGACCCGGGCAUGGCUCCCUGAGGAUGAACAGGGGGUACAGAAGUAGGAGAAUGUUCCAGAAGAGGGACCGGAGGACAAAGUGUGUGUGAGAGGGUGCAGUACCUUCAAGAAAGCAGAAAGGGAAUUGCUGGUGCCUGGACUGGACUGGGCCUUGCAGGUAUGAUAAGGACUUGGGUCUUUAUCCAGAGAGAAGAGUGGAAGGCUCUAGAAGGCUCUAUUCAGGGGAGGAGAAGGUGUGGGGCAACGGCUGACCAUGAUCUUUGGCAGUGAAUGGCCUUCUGGCUGGGGUGUGGUGCAAGGCUGAAGGGACCCAGGGAGUGCACCCGGAGGCCAGUCACCCUGGUGAGAGGUGAUGGGGGCUCAGACUGGGCUGGUGGCCAUGGCGAGGAGCAGAACCCAUCCCAGAUGGGUUCAAGGUAGGUUUUGGUGGUAAAAUGAAAGGAUUUGGGAUGUCCUGGAUACUCGGCUGAUGGAGGAGACAAAGUUCAGUGUCCUAACUUGCACAGCUGGGUAGACGGUAAUGCUGGCCGACCCCAGGCACAGGGCAAAGAGCCGGGGUUGUGGGUCGGAGGGUGGGGGGUGGGGGACAGUGGAGGUGGUAAGAGUUGAGGAGGAAUGGAGAGAGAAAGCAGUGAAGUCUACAGAAUACACAAUUCCUUCAAGAAGUUUCCUGGGAGUGGGGAGGAGAGAGGGGGACAGCAUAGGCCAGGGGAGUGAGGAACAAAGGGAGGGUGUGGUUUGGUUUUCAGGGCAGAAAAGCCUCGUGCACCAGCCUGGUCCCCGGAGGCCUACCCCAGUGUGGUCCUCUUUCUACCCGGUUCCGCGGCGCGGGUGCUCCAAACUGUGGAAGUGAUUGAUUAUAUGUAAACAGGAGGAAGCAAUUAGUCUGUGCAUGCCCAGCCAUUAAUAAGCCUCUUAGGUAUUUAUAACAACACCUCAUUUACCCUCCAGCCUGAGAACAAAUAUCCUGAGAACAGCCAGAGGUACCGGAGGAGACCCCCGGGCAGCCCCGUCCCGACACUAAGCCACUAAGCGGGCUUCACUAACAGGGAGGUCCCCUGCUUAGAGCCCACGGAGUCUUACUCUGCAUACAAUUCUAAUAGCUUGCGUGGUUUUUCGGUCCACAUUAGAAGCAGGAGGCAGCUGGGGACUGUCGCAGGCAGGAGCCCAGCAGCAGCGGGGAGCCAGGGAAGACAGGGUCACCCUAGGAAAGCAGAGAAGCCCGGGGUCCCGUGGCCCCCAAGGCCAGCUGGUCCGCCACCGGUGCUCCUGCAGUCGCCUCUGUCCGACGCUGUCCCACCACCAGUGGCUUCAAUGAACUCAUCUUGAAGUCCUUUUCCACAUCAAUAUUCAAUGAUUCUUUGUUCACCGUGAUGAUUCUGAGCCGCCGAGCAAGGGCUAAAUUACAUUCAGUAUUUUCUGCUUCAAGAGGACUUUUUUUUUUUUUCGGUGAAAUAUUUUAAAUUGUAAAUUUUAUUUUAAGUUUUCCUACAGUUUCUGAAAUAUUCCCUUACGUGGAAAGGGAUUUUGUAAUUGCCUAUUUAAUUAUCUGCUUCCCCGGUAGGCUGAGGCUCCGUGAGAACGAGGACCGCGUCCGUGUGGUCCACCACCUUCAUCCCAGCACCUGGCCCGGCGCCCCGGGACGGGCUCGAUACGGCCUUCUUGAAUUAGUGAAUUGAUCAGUAAAUUAAUAUUGCGUACCAGGCAACACUCACUCAACAAAUAUAUUAUUACGUUCAAUUUGGCCUCUGUUCUUGCUACUUUUUUUAAUACAGCUACCAGGAAAAAAAAAGUGAAUUACGAAUGUGGCGCACGCUCCAUCUCCGUCUGACAGGUUUGUCUUAGGCAUUCCUGCCCUGGCUCCAGAGGCA
This 3751-nucleotide long non-coding RNA is filed under the name Canis lupus familiaris (dog). RNAcentral describes it as "lncRNA (ENSCAFG00040002218.1)". The record is from RNAcentral. Lineage: Eukaryota; Metazoa; Chordata; Mammalia; Carnivora; Canidae.